Molecule: ribosomal RNA, 762 nt
Filed under: Triticum aestivum (bread wheat)
Lineage: Eukaryota; Viridiplantae; Streptophyta; Magnoliopsida; Poales; Poaceae
Description: partial small subunit ribosomal RNA
Source: RNAcentral
AUGAGGGGAUCUCGAACUGAGCCUGUGGAUGUCAGUUCUGAUGGAAGCGCUGACAGUGGCUCUGACGAAAACUCGGACAGCAGCUCAGAUGGAUCUGGUUAUAGCUCCUCUUAUGAAGGAGCGUCCAUGAGCUCCGAUGGAGUGGUGUACAUUAGCUCUGAUGAAGGCGAGUACAGCAGUCCAGAUGAGGGUGCCUACACCAGCUAUGAUGAAGACAUGAGCAGCAGCUCUGAUGAAGGCGCUCACACCAUCCAUGCUAAAGGUGUGCAUAGGCGCAUGAAGGAGAAGAAGCCUUGGAAGGCAUGCAUGAACAUCUGUGAUUGCCCUAAAGAGUACACAGUUGGUUAUAAUCCAAUUACUAAUGCUAGAUGCAUGUAUUCAAAGAGAUUUAAGAUGUCAAUGUGUGCUUGGAAGCGUCUCAACCAUUAUGUUGAAUCAGUUGAGCCUGCUAUCGGCCACUAUGUUUGUGAGCUGAAUAAGACUUUUGCCAAGCUUGGGCAGAGAAUGUACUUUUCUGUUGUGUUUACGAAGAAGCAUCUAGCGGAUUUCAUCGCUACUCCUGUUGAUGGGGUAAAGAUUCAGCUAUCAUCUGGACGUUGUGUAAGGCGUGUUCGCCUUAUUAAUGGUGUGGACAACAGGGCUACCAUAACACGGAACUGGGGUAACUUUGCAGAGAAAGCAAAGCUGACAAAAGGGGAUAUCUGUGUUUUCUCCCUUCGAGUUCGCAAGGGGAAACCAGAAUUCACCGUUCACAAGAUCUAA